This 453-nucleotide ribosomal RNA is filed under the name uncultured bacterium. RNAcentral's name for it is "bacterial SSU rRNA". It matches the Rfam family "Bacterial small subunit ribosomal RNA", at positions 28 to 494 of the family's 1533-position model. The record is from RNAcentral.
GACGAACGCUGGCGGCGUGCUUAACACAUGCAAGUCGAACGGUGAACCGGGCUUCGGCCCGGGGAUCAGUGGCGAACGGGUGCGUAACACGUGGGCAACCUGCCUCAGACACUGGGGAUAACCCCGGGAACCGGGGCGUAAUACCGGAUACUCCGACCGGACUGCAUGAUCCGGCCGGGAAAGCUCCGACGGUCUGAGAUGGGCCCGCGGCCUAUCAGCUUGUUGGUGGGGUAACGGCCCACCAAGGCGACGACGGGUAGCUGGUCUGAGAGGACGACCAGCCACACUGGAACUGAGACACGGUCCAGACUCCUACGGGAGGCAGCAGUGGGGAAUCUUGCGCAAUGGGCGAAAGCCUGACGCAGCGACGCCGCGUGGGGAUGAAGGCCGUCGGUUGUAAACCCCUUUCGGCAGGGACGAAGCGAACGUGACGGUACCUGCAGAAGAAGUCCC